RNAcentral lists this ribosomal RNA (760 nucleotides) under uncultured delta proteobacterium. RNAcentral describes it as "bacterial SSU rRNA". It matches the Rfam family "Bacterial small subunit ribosomal RNA", at positions 8 to 740 of the family's 1533-position model. Lineage: Bacteria; Deltaproteobacteria. The record is from RNAcentral.
AUAGUUUGAUCCUGGCUCAGAAUGAACGCUGGCGGCGUGCUUAACACAUGCAAGUCGCACGAGAACGCUUCAGCUUGCUGAGGCAAGUAAAGUGGCGCACGGGUGAGUAACGCGUGGGUAAUCUACCCUUGAAUCGGGGAUAACCCGCCGAAAGGCGGGCUAAUACCGGAUAACAUCUGAAAAGCUCCUGCUUUUUANAUCAAAGGUGGCCUCUAUAUGUAAGCUACUGUUUGGGGAUGAGCCCGCGUACCAUUAGCUUGUUGGUAGGGUAAUGGCCUACCAAGGCUACGAUGGUUAGCUGGUCUGAGAGGAUGAUCAGCCACACUGGAACUGACACACGGUCCAGACUCCUACGGGAGGCAGCAGUGAGGAAUUUUGCGCAAUGGGGGAAACCCUGACGCAGCAACGCCGCGUGAGUGAUGAAGGCCUUCGGGUCGUAAAGCUCUGUCAAGUGGGAAGAAACUAUGCGAUGUUAAUAUCAUCGCUUAUUGACGGUACCACUGAAGGAAGCACCGGCUAACUCCGUGCCAGCAGCCGCGGUAAUACGGGGGGUGCGAGCGUUAUUCGGAAUUACUGGGCGUAAAGAGCGCGUAGGCGGUCUUUUAAGUCAGGUGUGAAAGCCCGGGGCUUAACCCCGGAAGUGCAUUUGAAACUAAAAGACUUGAGUAUGGGAGAGGGAAGUGGAAUUCCUGGUGUAGCGGUGAAAUGCGUAGAUAUCAGGAGGAACACCGGUGGCGAAGGCGACUUCCUGGACCAAUAC